CCUCCAGAUCUUUUGGGACUACAACUCCCAUCAUCCCUAGCUAACAGAACCAGUGGUCAGAGAUGAGGGGAGUUGUAGUCCCAAAACAUCUGGAGG
RNAcentral lists this microRNA precursor (96 nucleotides) under Podarcis lilfordi (Lilford's wall lizard). The record is from RNAcentral. Lineage: Eukaryota; Metazoa; Chordata; Lepidosauria; Squamata; Lacertidae.